AUCUUCUUUGGAAAGUCAAGAGCUACUUUCCUUAAUUCCUGUAAUUAUUCGGCUGUUUCAUCUGAGAGACAGCAUCAAUGGAAGAAGUCUCCACUGGCAGAACUAUAGUCAUUUCUAAUCCAUGAAUCUAGACAUAAAAUGCCUAAUAACUAAAAAGUGGCAGAAAAGAGCAUAAAGGCUACAUACCAAAUUGAAAGCACCAAAAAUAUCUACAUAUGAGAUUAACUGUAAAUGAAAUAGAAGACAACGAUAGCAGGCACCAUGCUAUAGUGAAUGGAGUAUGGACUUGGCCUUCCACAGACCCAGUUUCAAAUCCUGUGACCACUUCUAGCCGGGAAAGAAACAUGGUGGCCACAAAAAGAAACAAAGACUCAACCAUUUAAAAUGAAGGAUCUCAUAAAUAUUGAUGAACAAAAUUGACCUGAUAGAAAAUCAUGGACUCGCCUCUUUCAAUAUGAAAAUUUGAACUUGCACAAACAAUUCAGCAAGGCUGUAUUUUCCUGAAAAUGAUGAAAGUCAUUGCUCAUCAGAGAUUGUCAUUAAAAUGAGGUCUUUUUGUACCUGAGGAAAGACAUCUUGAUGCUGCUGGCUCAGAGAGAUUUGGAAAAAUACAUCAAAAUAAAUGAGGCACCAUUACCACCCAGCCUGCCACGACUUUCAAAGGAUUAAACUACAAAUCCAU
This 682-nucleotide long non-coding RNA is filed under the name Equus caballus (horse). RNAcentral describes it as "lncRNA (ENSECAG00000054022.1)". The record is from RNAcentral. Lineage: Eukaryota; Metazoa; Chordata; Mammalia; Perissodactyla; Equidae.